RNAcentral lists this ribosomal RNA (253 nucleotides) under uncultured bacterium. Its description in RNAcentral is "partial 16S ribosomal RNA". It matches the Rfam family "Bacterial small subunit ribosomal RNA", at positions 524 to 776 of the family's 1533-position model. The record is from RNAcentral.
UACGGAGGGUGCAAGCGUUAUCCGGAUUUACUGGGUUUAAAGGGUGCGUAGGCGGUUGUAUAAGUCAGUGCUGAAAUAUCCCGGCUUAACCGGGAGGGUGGCAUUGAUACUGUACGACUUGAGUAAAGUUGAGGUUGGCGGAAUUGACGGUGUAGCGGUGAAAUGCUUAGAUAUCGUCAAGAACACCGAUUGCGAAGGCAGCUAACUAAGCUUUAACUGACGCUGAGGCACGAAAGUGUGGGGAUCAAACAGG